UUGAUAUAUGAAUUAGUACAAUUAGUGAAAAAUAGUAGAAGUAGUUAAACGACAAAAAACGUACGGAAGACUGAAUAAUAACUAGAAAAAUAGCUGUUCCUAGCGAAACAGCCGUGAGAAUGCAUAUUUGCAGAAUGACUGCAGCAGAAAUGCAAGAAAAA
Poecilia latipinna (sailfin molly) is the source of this 161-nucleotide long non-coding RNA. RefSeq lists it as uncharacterized. The transcript has 2 exons. NCBI's taxonomy places the organism in Eukaryota, Metazoa, Chordata, Actinopteri, Cyprinodontiformes, Poeciliidae. The record is from RefSeq and is a predicted model, not a curated record.